RNAcentral lists this ribosomal RNA (467 nucleotides) under uncultured bacterium. RNAcentral describes it as "partial 16S ribosomal RNA". It matches the Rfam family "Bacterial small subunit ribosomal RNA", at positions 29 to 507 of the family's 1533-position model. The record is from RNAcentral.
ACGAACGCUGGCGGCGUGCUUCACACAUGCCAGUCGAACGGAAAGGCCCUGCUUUUGUGGGGUGCUCGAGUGGCGAACGGGUGAGUAACACGUGAGUAACCUGCCCUUGACUUUGGGAUAACUUCAGGAAACUGGGGCUAAUACCGGAUAGGAGCUCCUGCUGCAUGGUGGGGGUUGGAAAGUUUCGGCGGUUGGGGAUGGACUCGCGGCUUAUCAGCUUGUUGGUGGGGUAGUGGCUUACCAAGGCUUUGACGGGUAGCCGGCCUGAGAGGGUGACCGGCCACAUUGGGACUGAGAUACGGCCCAGACUCCUACGGGAGGCAGCAGUGGGGAAUAUUGCACAAUGGGCGGAAGCCUGAUGCAGCAACGCCGCGUGCGGGAUGACGGCCUUCGGGUUGUAAACCGCUUUCGCCUGUGACGAAGCGUGAGUGACGGUAAUGGGUAAAGAAGCACCGGCUAGCUACGUG